RNAcentral lists this non-coding RNA (27 nucleotides) under Homo sapiens (human). The record is from RNAcentral. Lineage: Eukaryota; Metazoa; Chordata; Mammalia; Primates; Hominidae.
UACCAAAAAAAGAAUGUUGGGGUGAUC